AACGCACAUUGCGCCUCCUGGUAUUCCGGGAGGCAUGCCUGUUCGAGCGUCAUUAAAUACCUCUCAAGCACCAUUGCUUGGUCAUGGAAGAUGAGUAUGCUUGCAUUCCCCCUUCUGAAAUUCAAAGGCGGAUCAUCUCAUAUUCCCUGGCGUAGUAAGUGUUUAUCUUUCGCUUGGAGUGUGUGACAGUCUUGCCAUCGACCCCCAUUAUUUCAAGGUUGACCUCGGAUCAGGUAGGGAUACCCGCUGAACUUAA
This 256-nucleotide unclassified non-coding RNA is filed under the name uncultured fungus. RNAcentral's name for it is "partial contains 5.8S ribosomal RNA, internal transcribed spacer 2, and large subunit ribosomal RNA". The stretch from base 1 to 52 matches the Rfam family "5.8S ribosomal RNA", at positions 103 to 154 of the family's 154-position model. The record is from RNAcentral. Lineage: Eukaryota; Fungi.